Molecule: ribosomal RNA, 266 nt
Filed under: uncultured bacterium
Lineage: Bacteria
Description: partial 16S ribosomal RNA
Rfam family: Bacterial small subunit ribosomal RNA
Source: RNAcentral
UGGCGACCGGCGCACGGGUGAGUAACGCGUAUCCAACCUGCCCUUUACUAUGGGACAGCCCGUCGAAAGGCGGAUUAAUACCGUAUGUUGUCAUGUUGAUGCAUAUUUUCAUGACCAAAGGCUUCGGCCGGUAAAGGAUGGGGAUGCGUCUGAUUAGCUUGCGGCGGGGUAACGGCCCACCGGGGCGACGAUCAGUAGGGGUUCUGAGAGGAAGGUCCCCCACAUUGGAACUGAGACACGGUCCAAACUCCUACGGGAGGCAGCAG